RNAcentral lists this ribosomal RNA (433 nucleotides) under uncultured bacterium. Its description in RNAcentral is "partial 16S ribosomal RNA". It matches the Rfam family "Bacterial small subunit ribosomal RNA", at positions 29 to 507 of the family's 1533-position model. The record is from RNAcentral.
AACGAACGCUGGCGGCAGGCCUAACACAUGCAAGUCGAGCGAGCAUUUCGGUGCUAGCGGCGGACGGGUGAGUAACGCGUGGGAACGUGCCCUUUUCUGCGGAAUAUUGCUGGGAAACUGGUGGUAAUACCGCAUACGCUCUUUUGGGGGAAGAUUUAUCGGAGAAGGAUCGGCCCGCGUUGGAUUAGGUAGUUGGUGGGGUAAUGGCCCACCAAGCCGUGGAUCCAUAGCUGGUUUGAGAGGAUGAUCAGCCACACUGGGACUGAGACACGGCCCAGACUCCUAGGGGAGGCAGCAGUGGGGAAUCUUAGACAAUGGGGGCAACCCUGAUCUAGCCCUGCCGCGUGAGUGAUGAAGGUCGUAGGGUUGUAAAGCUCUUUCAGAUGGGAAGAUAAUGACGGUACCAGCAGAAGAAGCCCCGGCUAACUCCGUG